RNAcentral lists this ribosomal RNA (253 nucleotides) under uncultured bacterium. Its description in RNAcentral is "partial 16S ribosomal RNA". It matches the Rfam family "Bacterial small subunit ribosomal RNA", at positions 524 to 776 of the family's 1533-position model. The record is from RNAcentral.
UACGUAGGGUGCAAGCGUUGUCCGGAAUUAUUGGGCGUAAAGAGCUCGUAGGCGGUCUGUCGCGUCGGCUGUGAAAACCCGAGGCUCAACCUCGGGCCUGCAGUCGAUACGGGCAAACUAGAGUACUGCAGGGGAGACUGGAAUUCCUGGUGUAGCGGUGAAAUGCGUAGAUACUGGGAGGAACACCGGUGGCGAAGGCGGCUACCUGGACCGGUUCUGACGCUGAUGCGCGAAAGCGUGGGUAGCAAACAGG